Molecule: ribosomal RNA, 413 nt
Filed under: uncultured bacterium
Lineage: Bacteria
Description: bacterial SSU rRNA
Rfam family: Bacterial small subunit ribosomal RNA
Source: RNAcentral
CAGUGGGGAAUAUUGGACAAUGGGCGCAAGCCUGAUCCAGCCAUGCCGCGUGAGUGAUGAAGGCCUUAGGGUUGUAAAGCUCUUUUACCCGGGAAGAUAAUGACGGUACCGGGAGAAUAAGCCCCGGCUAACUUCGUGCCAGCAGCCGCGGUAAUACGAAGGGGGCUAGCGUUGUUCGGAUUUACUGGGCGUAAAGCGCACGUAGGCGGAUCUUUAAGUCAGGGGUGAAAUCCCGAGGCUCAACCUCGGAACUGCCUUUGAUACUGGGGAUCUCGAGUUCGGGAGAGGUGAGUGGAACUGCGAGUGUAGAGGUGAAAUUCGUAGAUAUUCGCAAGAACACCAGUGGCGAAGGCGGCUCACUGGCCCGAUACUGACGCUGAGGUGCGAAAGCGUGGGGAGCAAACAGGAUUAGA